This 19982-nucleotide long non-coding RNA is filed under the name Cicer arietinum (chickpea). RNAcentral describes it as "long non-coding RNA (CARI_LNC002074)". The record is from RNAcentral. Lineage: Eukaryota; Viridiplantae; Streptophyta; Magnoliopsida; Fabales; Fabaceae.
UUAAUUAAUUUCCUAACCAUAUGGCUACACUUAUUUCCCAAAGUAUAUUUUUCUUCAUUCUCCUCUCUUUCUACACUCUCACAAUCAUAGUUGCACAAGAUGAGACCGGUUUUGUGAGCUCAAUAGAUCCUAAGUUACUUAGAAAAAAACAACAUGCAAGCCAUUUUAGGUUUUAUUGGCAAGACAUCGUGGGUGGAAACAAUGCCACCUCAAUUCCAAUAAUUCCUCCACUCCCUAAAUUCAACAAUUCAUUUAGUGCUUUUGGUUUGGUGAGAAUAAUUGACAAUGCUUUAACCGUUGGACCAAAUUUAAGCUCAAAGCUUUUGGGAAGAGCUCAAGGGUUUUAUGCCUCUACCUCACAAACCGAGCUAGAUUUUCUUAUGGUUAUGAAUUUUGCCUUAUUUGAAGGAAAAUAUAAUGGAAGCACAAUUACUAUAUUGGGAAGAAAUGUUGCUAACAAUAAGGUUAGAGAGUUGCCUGUGAUUGGUGGAAGUGGUGUUUUUAGGUUUGCUAAGGGAUAUGCUGAAGCUAGCACUUAUUCUUUUGAUCCCUUAUCGGGGGAUGCUACCAUUGAAUAUAAUGUCUAUGUUUCUCAUCAAAUAUAAUUUAUUUUUUAUGCUUUGUAUUGUUAAUAACUUGUGAUGAUGCUCAUGAGCUUUGCAUGUUUCAUGUGAGGGUUUAGCUCAUCAUAUAAGCCUUUCUUAUUUGUGUGUAAUUGUAGUUGGUAUCAUAAUUUUAAUAAUAUUUUAUAGGCUUAUAAUUGCAGUUUUACUCUCUCUAUUUAUACUUAUUUAUAAAAUUGGUCCUCCUAUUUUAAAAGGCGACAGUUUUGAAUUUUUUAACUAAAAAAUGAUGACGUAAGAUGUUUUAAAUAAUAUGUUAUAUGAUACGAUAAUGUAGAGUGAUUAACACUCAUGAAAUUGAAAUCAAACGCUGUGAAAAUUUGAAUUUGAACUUCGAAAUUUUUUCAUAUUUUUAAUUUAAUUAAUUACAUAUGAAUAACUAAUGCAUCUAGAUGGUUCUAUAUCAUAUAAUUGUAUGUCACGUCAUUUAAAAUAUAUUAAAUCGUCAUUUUUUUAGUUCAAAAAUCUGAGAGAGACCAAAACUGUAGACUUUUAAAAUAAAAGGACUAAUUCUGUAAAUCAGUAUAAAUAUAGAAACCAAAAUUACAAUUAAACAUAUUUUAUAUUAUUAAAAAAUAUUUUAUUUUAUAUUUAAAUUAAUUGUUCCCACCACACUUUGUUUUUUGGCAAUGCUACAGAAAAGAUGUAAAGUGUAAUAAAAUAAAAUAUUAUAUUUAUUUUUUAUUAUUAUAAAAUUAUUAUUUACGAAAAAUACUUAUGAUUACAUUUUAAAUUAUAUUUUUGAGAGGUCAAUAUUAGACACAUACAAAUGAUAUAGUAAUGAAAAUAAUCUACAUUUGAAAGUGUGGGACAAAUAUUUAAUCAUAGAUAUGUCCAAUUUGUCAAAUUAUUGACUUGGUAUAUAUUUUGUACGCAUAUAUUUUCAAUAUAAUAUUAUACAAUUAUCCACACACCCCAUUAAAACAAUUAUGGCCUAAUGACUUAGUCGACUACUAUGAAUGAAUAAAUAAAUUGAAAUUCCCUCAAAUUGACAUUUUUAAUAAUUUAUAAAAUGAUAUAAAACUAGAUUUUGAAUAAGUAUUCUUCUAUAUCCCUCAUCAUGUAAGGAACAAACAAGAAGAACAAUAAAAAAAGACGAUUAAAGACCGAAUAGAGACGAUUAAGAAAUGAUUAAACUUAAUUAUUGCUUCUUGGGAGACAAACAGAAACAACCAAAGGAGGCCAAAAUGACAACAAUAGGUCUAAGGUGUUGGUGUAUUUUCAGUACAUUUUCUAGACACACAAAAAUUCACCCUAAUUCCUACUAAUUGCUCUCUUCUUUAAAGUUUUACGCAAUGGUUUAAACGGCGAUCGCAAUCGCGUUAAAGAUUUCACGAUUUUGACUAUUACAAAUGUUAUAUUACAAAUUACGAUGGUAGUGAUGUAAAUUAAUCACAUUAUUGCUUAAAUUUUAUUAAAAUUAUUUGUAUUUUUGUAUAAUAUAUAAUCAUAAUAAUUUAGACGUGAGAAAAGAUCAAAAUUGAAGAAAGAGGUAAUAUAAUAUUAAAAUACAUUUUAAAAAUGUGUUUUGAUAUCCUUUUAAAAUGAAAAAAAUUAGAUUUCAAUUUUUUUUUAUAACAACAACGUUUUAUUGUAAUCAUUUUCUAUUAUUUUUCUUCACAUAUUUAAAAUGACAAAAAACAGUAACCGUUGCUAUUUUUAUCUUUUUGUCGCAGCCGUUUUAUCGGUCGCGGAUGGUUGUACUGGACACAAACAUUCAUUUUAAUCAUGAUCAAAACAAGUUGCAAUAAAAGCUAGUGCUAAAUUUUUUUUUUAUAACUUUUUUAAUAAAAUAAAAAGAACGGUCUUAAACCCAAAAUAAAACUAGUCUAGUAGAAUAGUUGGGAUCUUUCAAACAAAAAAAAGUCAUAAGCAUUUUUUUAGCGCAAAAGUAAAUUCUCAAAUUAAACUUAUGACAAAAAUAUUUAAUAUAAUAAUAUUUAUAUUUUGUUAGUUGAAUCAAGACUAAAAAAUAAAUUAAUUAUUUUUGUCUAAAAUGAAUAAAAAAAGGAUACUCUAAAAGUGGGCUUCAAAGACCCAAAUUAAAAUUAGCAUAACUUUUGAAAAUCUUUGGGAGGAAAUGAGAGAUCUAAAGACCCAAGGCAAAACAAGUUCAAAUGUUGACCAAAAAUUAAAUGUUCAAAUCCAUUGAUAAAGUAAAAUAAAACACAGAGAAAGGAUAGAAGGAUAAAGUGCUCUUGUGAUUCGCCUCUUCUUUAGGUGUGGAGUGCUAAUCUAAUCUAGGUGUAAUUUUGAUUAACAAUUGGAGUUUAGUGACUUGAUAUUCUUAAGUGUGGUAGGAGUGCCUUGCGACUGUCAUGUUGUAGUAGCUAAAACAAUGUUGAGUUGUCCUAUUUGGACAUUUGUAUAAAAAAGCUACAAGGACAAAAUUUGGGAAUUUUUAUAAUAUCUUUUCUAUUUUUUUACAAUACCUUAUUUUAAAAAUUAUAUAUUAAAAUAUUUUAUUUUUUAAAAAAGUAGUUUUUUUUUAGGAAGUCACAUUCUAGAGAUGCAAUCGUGUAUUGGUUAAUUUAAUUUUUUGGCUAAUUGAAAAUAUAAUCAAAUAGUACAUUAAAUAUAAUAAAAUAUAACUAAAUUAUAUUAAUAAAAUUUAAUAAAAUAUAUUAAAUAUAUAUAUAUAUAUAUAUAAAAAAGACUACUUCACAUAGUCGCAUGUCCAUAUUGCGAUCUAUUGAAGACCUAAAAAAGUAAAGUAUUUUGAUAUAUAAUUUUUAAAAUAGAGUAUUUUGGAUAUUUUUUUCAAAAACCAAAAUUAGAAUAUUAUAGAAAAAAUUCGAAAAUUUGGAUAUUAGGACUUGUUUGAUUGUGUUUUACUUUUUAGUUUUUGAAAACUAUUUUAUAAAUGAGUUUUAGAAAACUGUUUUUAAAAAGAAAAUUUUAAAAAAAUAUGUUUGACAACUCCAAUUUCUAAAACAUUUUUUGACUAUGGAAUUAAAAAAACUGAAAAAUGAAACGUAAGGGCUUGUUUAAUUGUAUUUUACUUUUUAAUUUUUGAAAACUAUUUUAUAAAUAAAUUUUAGAAAACUGUUUUUAAAAAGAAAAUUUAAAAAAAAUCUGUUUGACAACUUCAAUUUUUAAAACAGUUUUUGACUAAGAGUUAAAAAAAUAGAAAAAUGAAAAGUAAAACACAAUUUAUCUGUUUUGCUUUUUUAGUUUUAAAAAAUAUAAUAUUAAGAAUAGUUUUACUAAACAGUUUUUGAAAACAAGUAAUCCAAACAAAUUUUUUAGUUUUUAAAUUUUAAAAAACUAAAAUAGGAUUUUUGGAAUGUGAAUCAAACAAGCCCUAAAACACCAUUUAUCUGUUUUGCUUUUUUAAUUUUAAAAAGUAUAAUAUUAAAAAUAGUUUUAUAAAACAGUUUUUAAAAAUAAGUAAUCCAAACAAAUUUUUUAGUUUUUAAAUUUUAAAAUACUAAAUAAAUUUUUUGAGAUGUGAAUCACACAAGUCCUAAAUCUAUUCAUUCACUGUUAGAAAGGAAGAAACAAGUUGAAUCCUAAAAAGAGCGGAAAAUUUGAUUUAUGAAUUAUGGACAUAGAAAUUUGAGGAUAAAAGUUCUUAGAUCAAUAACAUGUAAGAAUCAUAUUAAUUCAAAUAUAAUAACUACUAUUGAUAUUUUGAUGAUAAUAAAAUAAGAAAAUAAUUAUUCAUUAAUAAUUUGUUUUAAUUGUGCAGUUUAUAUAAAGUUAAAUUAGAGUCUAUAUUAUUUACUAUUUACUAUAUUAACAUAAGUGUUUGUAACUUAGUAAUAAUUAUGUAUGAGCUAUUCAUUAAAAGAAAUACAAAGAACAUUAUUAACUAACAAAUAAUUAACUUUGGUUACUAAUAUUAGAGUAAGUAAUAACUCAGUAAGAGUAUAUGAGAUCAAAGCAAUAUGACUAUGGUUCAAACUAUAUAUUGAUUCCACAUGAUAAAUAUAUUGCAACUUCCGCUAGUGAAUCAUUGUUCGGUCAAACAGCUGAAACACAAGAUGUGUUGAAAACACAAGUAGCUUUAUAUUAAUACUCUAAGUUUGAAAACAAAGAAAUGCUUGUUGAUACACAUUAAGAUCAAGCAUAAGCCUCUCUAUUGCCACUACCCUCCUAUGCUAGUUUCUUGGUUGCUUCACCAUAUUAUUGACUUUAAGCCAAUCAAACUACUAUGUUUGACAAUCUCCAUUUUUACUAGAUUGUGCUUUCAUUUAUCUAUUAAUUACUAUCACUAUUUCAAAUGUAAAUUGACCUACAAGAUUAGUAUAAAUAGGGUCAAUACCUAUAAUAGCAUCUUGAAGUUUAUAAAAAUUGAGUGUCUUCUUUUGAGAGUUAAAGAGUGGGUUAUGUCUAGACUUCUGAACCACUUGAGACAAAGACCAUUAAUGGAAACAUCGUCCAAUACAUGCACUAAUGCAAUUAAACCUUGUUAGAUCGGUUCCUAUAUACUUGUUAGAUCGAGUUCUUAUCCGAUCUAACAUCAAGCGAUGUAAUAAAUAGUUAAUUAUUAAAUCAGCUAAAAUAAUAGAUGUAACAAGUCACAUUCAAAAAUGAUUUAUUAGAUCGGUUAAAUUUGAACCAAUAUAAUAAGUCAAAUUCAAAAAUGAUUUAUUAUAUCUGUUAAAUUUGAACCAGUAUAACAAGUCAAAUUCAAAAAUGAUUUAUUAGAUCUGUUAAAUUUGAACCAAUAUAACAAGUCAAAUUCAAAAUUAAUCUAUUAGAUCGAUUAAAUUUGAACCAAUAUAACAAGUCAAAUUCAAAAUUGAUUUAUUACAUCGGUUAAAUUUGAACCAAUAUAAUAAGUCAUAUUCAAAAUUGUUUAUUUUAUCGAUGAGCCAAUCGAUUUAAAUAAUUAACUUUUUAAUUUUUUGUUCUUUAUAACUUUCACCCCUUACAUAUGCAUCCUCAUAAUUUCACAUAUUACAUUAUUAACUAGAAUUUCUCAUUCAACCAUAAAACACAAAACUUCAUACGAAGCUUUACAUUUAAAAAUCAAUGAUAAUGAGUCAUAAUUUUUUUACAAAAUCUAAAUUAUCAAAUUUAGAGCUACAUAAUAUUCACUAGUUAAAAAAAAAAAACAUUAUCUUCUAUUAACAGUCUAAAGAUACUAAAAUAAUACAAGUGCUUCAAGCAUUUUCUAUUAGUUCAAGAAUCAAGUUUGCACAACGUUGUCGGACAUUCAUCAUUUCUUCAUCUUCGAAUGGUUUUGAUUAUCCAAAUAUCUGAAUUAUAAACAUUGAAAUAACAAAGUUAUCUAAAUCAUGUGACCAUAAAAAUUAUAAGUAGUUAAUUAAUACUAACUUUGUAAAAAUCUAUCACAUACCCGCAUCCAUGAAUCAACAAUACCACUAGAUACAAUGUUCAACAUAUGUAUUAUAAUGUAGUAACCACACUCAUAACCUUUAGGUUGUCUUUGACACUAAAAUUGAAUAUUAUAUGUAAAUUAUAAUGAGUAAAUAUUAUAUAGAUAAAAACAUAUAAAUUAUAAUUGAAAUUCUAUAUAUAUAAUCUAAACAACUUACAAUGGGAAUGCUCCAUGUGGGCUUGUUCUUUCUUAAUCUUCGCGACUUAUUAUAUUCACCCAAAACUCUACAAAAAUAAAAUAUUCAUUAAAGUGUAGCAAAUAAAAUCACAUAGAGAUGAAUUAGCAUAUAAAUAAAUAAAAUAGCAUGUUUUAAUGAAUGCAAUUGGAACAGUUUUAUUACUUUGUUCAUUAUAAAGAGGAAAUACAUUGAAACUUGAUAUUAUGAAACAUCAUUCUCUAUGUUCUUUGGUGGCCAGAGAUACAACUCAUAGAUAAGAAGGUACUAGUAGUACUUCCAAAACAAAACGUUAAAAUUAUUAAAUGAACUAAGAUAGUCACCACUCACGGGAAUAUUUAUAUAUUUAUCUAUAACCUUCUAUAGCAUGGUCCAUAACAAGAUGAAAUAUAUCGUCUUUAUAUAAACAUAAAUGUACUACGCCAAAAAUGACAUUUUAUAGCGCGUCUUUUAUAGCGCUUAUUAAAUACAAGCGCUGUUGUAUGAUAUUUUAAAAAUAACGGAGGGUACAACAUCGCUUUUUUGACAAGCGCUGUAAAAAAAACGCUGUAANNNNNNNNNNNNNNNNNNNNNNNNNNNNNNNNNNNNNNNNNNNNNNNNNNNNNNNNNNNNNNNNNAAAAAGCGUUGUAAUAGGCUUUUAAAAGUAAAAUAAGGAGGUCUUUUACAGCGCUCUUUAAAAAAGCGCUGUAAUAGGCUUUUAAAAAAUAAAAUAAGGAGGUCUUUUAUAGCGCUUUUUUAAAAAGCGCUGUAAUAGGCUUUUAAAAGUAAAAUAAGGAGGUCUUUUACAGCGCUCUUUAAAAAAAGCGCUGUAAUAGGCUUUUAAAAAAUAAAAUAAGGAGGUCUUUUACAGUGCUUUUUUAAAAAGCGCUGUAAUAGGCUUUUAAAAAGUAAAAUAAGGAGGUCUUUUACAGCGCUCUUUAAAAAAGCGCUGUAAUAGGCUUUUAAAAAGUAAAAUAAGGUCUUUUACAGCGCUUUUUAAAAAAAAGCGCUGUAAUAGGCUUUUAAAAGUAAAAUAAGGAGGUCUUUUACAGCGCUUUUUAAAAAAUACGCUGUAAUAGGCUUUUAAAAAGUAAAAUAAGGUCUUUUACAGCGCUUUUUAAAAAAAGCGCUGUAAUAGGCUUUUAAAAGUAAAAUAAGGAGGUCUUUUACAGCGCUUUUUAUAAAAAGCGCUGUAAUAGGCUUUAAAAAAAUAAAAUAAUAUGAACUCUAUGUAUUUCUUCGCACUCUUCAGGUAUUGUAUUCAUUUAUUCAUUUAUUUCUUAUAUAUAUAUAUAUAAUGUGUCUGUUAAUGCUAAUAAUCACAUUUAUUUGAUAGUGUUUUACAAGUUUUCCGAGCUCAAAUGGGUGCUACAGUGUCGAAGCAAAAAUCAAAUAAAUCACAUGGAUUCCAAUAAAGGUUUGAAAUGUAUGGCUUUAAAAUUUCAUUAACAAUCAAUCUACAAAUAUUUAUUGACUUAUAUGUUUUAUUUUAUAGUGCUCUCGUCAAACUAACAACAUAGACUGUGGAUACUGUAUAUUACGAUUCAUGAAGGAGAUUGUUGUUAUAAUCCCAGAAAGAGAUCUAAUUGAAAUAAAGGAAUGGAUAUUACAGCGUUUUUUUUAAAAAGCGCCGUAAAACUAAUACAACAAGCAGCGCGUUUUUAGAAGAGAUUUACAACGUUUUUUUUAUUUUAAAGAGCGCUGUUGUAUCUUUUUACAGCGCUGGAUACUACAACGCUUAAUUUUUUGGAAAAGCGCUGUAAAUGGCUUAAAAAAAGCGCUGUAAAAUACCAUUUUUCGCGUAGUGAUGUGUUACUUAUAUAUAAGGAAAAACUACUUAUAUAUUUCCACUAACUAAUUAUUUCCCUUUCCCUCUUUAUGCCUCCCACUUCUUAAGAUUCAAGGGCUCUUACAUCAACAACGAGAGAAAGGGAUGGUUUACCAAAUCAUGUCAUGCAAUAAAUGGUUAAGAGAAGAAUAAUGAGAUAGAAACCCUUGGAAAGCUAUAAAGGAGUUAAAGUACUAGAAUUCAAACUUUAGUCAAAAUGUAAAAAUAUUAACUUAGCUAACUAUAAAGCGCCAAUAAAUAAAAUUAAUAAAGGAAAAACAAAUUAUUGUAGCAAAUAAACCACAUAGAGAUGAAUUAUAUUAUUCACUACCUUUAAAGCCAUAAGCCUCUUAAAAAAGUGUUGAUAUACAAUAAUGUUGUGCCAUCAAGCAUGUUCGAAAUAUAUCUAUCACAAAAGCAAAGAAUCUAAAAACUCAAAUUUUGUGCAUUUGCAUGUGCCUUAGCAUUUCUAUUUUGUGCCAACACAACAAUGUUUAAUUGGAUUUGUAGAAGGUCAACAUAGUCAUUUCUAAAAAGAUCUAAAUGUGCGUUUGAAAUACAUAUACCAUAAAUACAAUAAACACUUACAAAUCGACGAUGUGCGUGAUAUUUUUAUUUGGUUUCCAUCCCAACGAACAUAGGAAAACUAUAGUAUUCUUCUUAGGACAAAUAACGAGAAAUUGCCAAUGAAAACUACAUUGUGCAAAAAGGUAAAAAUGUUAAGUACAUUUAUGUUAUAAACUUGUAAUGGAUAAAUUAUAAUAAAAUUUUACUUACUUGUUGAGAUAAGGUAAUAGAUAACACUCUUUUUGAUCCUGCUGCAACUUAUUUUGUAUGUAUUUUUGAGCCCCAAUAGAAUCAUAUUCACUCUGAAUGAAACACGGAUCAAUGAAUCCAUACACACCACUCUUGCCCAAGUCAAUACAAAGGCGAUGCAUAUAUCUAAGAUAUUAAAAUAAAUAAAUUAAAAUAAGUAUUUGUUAUAAAUGAAAUUAAUUUUGUUUACUAAUUUUACAAAUUAAAUGUACUUACGUCAACCAUAUUUGUAUAAUAGUGAUGCACAACUCUUGAUUACCGAUGCACAACUCCACUAUAUCGCUUUGUCCAAGAACACCAUUAUAGAUGUAAAACCAAAUUCAUCACUGUAAAACCAAAUUCAUCAAUUUUAACACCAUUAUUGAUGUCAAUCCAUUUACAUUUAAAAACAAGCACUUUAAAUUUAAUGAAAUCGAUAUCUCAAAUCUAAUGAAAUAAACCACUUUAAGAAAUUCUUGUUAUGCUCAUUCAACAACCAUUUUUCAUUCAUUCUAGGAUAAUUUUCCUUCACAAUGCUUUUAUGAGUAGAAAGGUAAGGUUGAACCUCAUCAGUGUUAUUCAAUAUAUACAAAUGUGCUUGAAGUACUUCCUCUCGUCCCAUGCUCUUAAGUUUUAAGCCUCGGAUACCAUUACCCACACAUGUUCCCUCAUGACGAGAUCUAGGAUUUCCUAUGGCUUCUGCUUUUUACAUAUAGUCAGAACAAAACUCAAUAGCCUCUUCUGCUAUGUACCUUUCAACAAUAGAGAUGCUUCAGGAUGGUGUGGAUUCUUCACAUAUCCUUUUAAAAUCUUCAUGUAACGCUCGAAUGGAUACAUCCACCUCAAAUAAAAAGGACCACAUAAUUUAAUCUCCCUAACUAAAUGAAAAUUAAAUGAACCAUGAUGUCAAAAAAAGAAGGAGGAAAAUACAUCUCUAGUCGGCACAAGAUAAUAACAGCUUCAAUUUCCAACUCAUUUAAUUUUUGAGGAUCAAUGAUUUUGCUACAAAUAGCGUUGAAGAAUAAACACAACCUAGUUAAGACCUCUCUUACUUUUUUAGGCAAUAUGCCAUGUAAAGCCACUGGUAGUAGUUGUUGCAUCAAAAUCUGGCAAUCGUGAGACUUUAAGCCAACUAAUUUCAAAUCUUUCAUUGACACAAGACUCUUGAAAUUUGAGGAGUAGCCACGUGGCACUUUUAUUCCCCUUAAACACUCACAAAAGCAUCUAUUCUCCUUUUUGACAAUGUAUGACAAGCAGGAGGCAAAUAUGUUCGUUUACCUGUUGAUUGUGGAGCUAAUUGUUGUCGUAUACCCAUAUCAACCAUAUCUAGACGAGAAUUUAAGCCAUCCUUUGUUUUCCCCUGAAUGUUGAGAAAUGUUCCAAUUACACUAUCACACACCUUUUUCUCUACAUGCAUCACAUCAAGACAAUGUCUUACAUCUAGACUAGACCAAUAAGGAAGAUCAAAGAACACUGACUUCUUCUUCCAUAUAUUUUUCUCAGAUGUCUGUUUUUGGUUAUUUCCAAAGAUAACAUUUAUAUCCUUAACCCGUUGAUAAACUUGCUCCCCAGUUAAGGAUUUUUGAGAAAUUUCAUGCUCUUGGUGUCCAUUAAACGCUUUUCUCAACUUACGGUAUGAAUGAUUAGACUUGAGAAAUUUUCGAUGCCCAAGAUAAAAAGUUUUUCUUCCAUGUUUCAAUUAUUGGUAGCAUGUUCCUUCUUCACAUAUAGGACAUGCUUUGUGUCCCUUAACACUAUAGCCACACAAGUUUCCAUAUGUAGGAAAGUCAUUGAUGGUACAAAAUAGCAUUGCACGCAUCUUAAAAUAUUCACGAGAAUACCCAUCAAACACAUCAACACCUUCCCAAAGCAUUCUCAAAUCUUCAAUCAAUGGACUUAGAUAAACAUCUAUGUCAUUUCCAGGUUGUUUUGGACCUAAAGUCAUCAUAGAUAACAUGAUGUAUUUACGCUUCAUGCAAAUCCAAGGAGGUAGGUUGUAGAUAACUAGUAGAACAGGCCAUGAACUAUGGUUACUACUUAAGUUUCCAUAUGGAAUCAUUCCAUCUGUAGCAAGUCCACGCCUAAGGUUCCUUGGCUCACUUCCAAACUCCGGGUACAAAUUAUCAAUUUUCUUCCAUUGCAAAGAAUCAGUUGGGUGACAAAGUUGUCCAUCACGCUUCCUCUCAUCGGCAUGCCAUCUUACAUUCUUUGCAUCAUUUGUAUUAGCAAACAAACUUUUGAACCUUGGAACUAUUGGAAGAUACCAUAACACCUUUGCAUGAGGUCUCUUUGAGCUUUCGUCAUAAAUGGAAUCACCAUCCUUCAUUUUGUAGCGUGAUAGUCCACACCUAGGACACUUAGUCAACUCUUCAAACUCAUUUCUAUACAAUAAACAGUCAUUAGGGCAUGCAUGUAUUUUCCUAUACUCCAUGCCCAUUGGACACAAUAACUUAUUUGCCUCAUAGUUACGAUUCGACAAUGUGUUACCUUCUGGGAGCAUUUCUUUCAACAAUUCAAGUAAUUCAAUGAAGCUUUUAUCUGUCCAGCCAUUUCUCGCCUUCAAGUUGAACAAUCUCAAUACCAUAGACAAUCGUGUGAAGUUAGUGCAUCCCGGAUACAAAUGCUCUUCUUUGUCACUGCACAAAUUAUCAUAUACAUGUGCACGGUUAAAGGACUCUUGUCCAACAUCACGUAUCAUGUCCUCUAGUUGAUCAUUCAUAUCUACAUUAAGUUCCUCUCUUUUUGAGGUAUUUGACAUGUUUAACGAAUCACCUUGCCAUAUCCAUCUGAUAUAGUUUAGGUCAAUCCCAUAACAAAUAAGAUGACUUCGUAUUUCCUCAAAAUGUAAUGUAUUUUUAUUCAAACAAAUAACACAAGGACAAUAAAACCUUCCUUUACUUUUAGGAAGUUUUUUUAAAGCAAAUUGUAAAAACUCCUCAACUCCCUUUUCAUACUCUUCACUCAAACGAUUAGCAUUCAUCCAACUGCGAUUCAUAACUACUUCUGAAAAAAAAUACAAUGGUAAAAUGAUUUUAAUCACAUUUUAAUAAUCAUAUUUCUACAUAAAAGUUAAUUGUGUUAUUUAUGUUCUCACAUCUAUUAUGUAUUUGCUUUUACAAUGCAAGGCUUACAUAGUGUGCAUAUGGUAAUUGUCUUUUUAAUACAACUUGAGGGUAAUGCAUGUUUUCUUUGUAACCAUUGUAGCCAUAGCAAUUAAAUAAGUUUUUUGAGCAAGAGAUUGGAGUUAGAAGAAGAGUGCUCAAGGUUUGGAUGCAUAACAAUAAGCACAAUCUUGCCAAAAAAUUACAUAAUCAUUCUUGUAUAUAUUGAUAAAUUUUUAUUAAAUUUGAAAGACUUAAAUUACCUUUAUAAAAUAACUCUUACACUAAAAAAAUCAUGCAUGUUCAACAAAAUGAUUUUCAAACAUCUUGAUCAUUUAGUCUGUUACUACUCCUAUAUUACAACAAAGCCAUAUAGAAAGAAAAGUACUCUCUUAAGAGUACUCUCUUAACGCUCAAACAUUGUCAGUUGGGGCAGCUCUAACUGCUCUUGAAGAGUGGAUGUGGACACUGGCCAAAAUUAUUAAGAAGGAUGAGGCACUACCAGAGCUAUUCUUAGCACAAACUGAUACUGGUGCUCAUAAGUUUGCCCAAGGACUCAAUAUUUCUUUUGCCUCUCAUUUGAGAAAGUUGGUUGUUCCAUUUAGACAAAGUAAAGAUCAAGUUGGUUGUUUUAUUGCAACUAUAGAGGAUUUAGUCUCUUGGGUGCAACAAUCAAACUCUAUGUCAUCAUCUAUUGCAACAUAAAGAUAGUGGAAAAGUUCAAUCAGAUUCACCUUUACCGCUAUAGCUAAUAGUGAUACUGGAGUCUAUUAUAUCACUUGAAAUGUCAAGAUGUGAGGAGUUGAAGCCAUAGGAUAUGAGUAUAUUGUUUUCCUCGUUCAUUAGAAUGCAAACACUCCCUAAAAUUUAGUAUUCCUUUUUGUUUCUUUGUUCAUUUUGUCUUGCAUCUUUCUAGUUUGUUUGUUAAUUUAUUUACUUAUAGAUUGCAUCUUUCAAGUUUUGAUACAGAUCGACAUGAAAAUAUAUAGGUGUUUAAUGACAAAUAGUUGUAUUUAUUUUGCACCAUUAUGCAAUUUCAUUAUACCUCAAUGGUGGCAUGUUAUAAUAUAAGUUACUAACAUUAUAAAAUAUACAAACCCUCGAUAAAAUUAUUUAAUAUCUGCAUCCACAAUUCCACAUUACUUUUUUUUUUUCAAAAUCUUAUUUGGAUAAAUGGAUUAUUCAUUGAACAAAUUAAUAUGAUAUGUCUAUGUUGCCUUUAGCACUAACCAUAUACGGUUGGUUAUGUGAAUGUUGAACUAAAUUCGAAGUCUCAUUGUUUGGUUAUACUAAUAAUAGCUUUAAAUUUUGAAUCAUAUAAGAGAUGCACUCUAAUUAAACAAGUGAUGUACUAUGACCAUGUGAACCAUAGGCUUCAUUUCACCUAUUGACCCGAAGCGUCCAAUCAUCAUGCAAAGUAAUUUCGGUUUGAGAACUAUGCAGCAAACCUAAACUAUAUUUACAAAUUUCACUGUAAAGCCAAUAAAACUUGUCUUCUACUCAAUUUAAUGUUUGUAAUACUUAUAAACAUGAUUUGUAGUGUUACUAUUUCAACGGUUUUUAUUGUUUAGAAAGGGUAUAACUUGGAUGAUUAUUGUAUAUGAAAAAAUAAUUGAUGUUGCAAAUUGUGUUAUUUAAAUUGUAUGAUAACAUUAUUCUAAAGUGUAGUACCCCUAAAAUAUAAAAACAUAUAGCUGACCUAUGCUCAAAUCAUUAUAUUUUUUGAAGAGCAUGUUGUAUUUAAAUAUUUAAAUAAAAAUUAAUACACUCAACAUAUAUAUGUAUCAAAGGUCUGCUUGAUUGUUUAUACACAUUGUUAUAGACAUAAAUGAUUCCAGUUCACACGACUAGAUGGUAACUACUUAUCCACUACUAACAAAAAUGCUAGAAAUUCCAUAAUGACUCUGGAAAAAACACAUUUACCAAGUGCAAGACAAAUACUAACUCAAAUUAAGCACAUGAAAGAUAACAACCAAUCAAUGUGUGGUUCCGUUGUGUUUAGUAUAAAAAAGGUCUAUUUCAUUGAGCAUUUUUUUAGUUUGAUUUGAUUUCAUCUCUCCAAUUUAGUAUCAUGUUAAUUUGCUAUGGUGAAAAUCCACCCUCGACUACAUAUUGUCAUUUCUAGAUUAAUAACCUUAUUUUAAUUUUUUAAAUUAAAACAAUAUCUUUUUGGAUUCUAAAAAUAUUUAUUAUGUAAAAUAUUAGCUACAGCAAGAACAAUAGUUGAGACUUAUUAUUAACAGAGACAAUAUCACAAACACAUAGCAUGCAUUUUUAAAGGAUGAUUGAAAAUUGGGAUAACUACUACUACUCAAAUUUCUCCAUCAAUUAAAGAUUAAUAAUAAGAAUAAUUAACAAUGAAAUAAUUUUAGAUUGUUGAGUAACAAACAAAAACUAUUAGAAAAUUACCUGAGAAAGCCACAAACACUUCUCGAUAGUGAAAGAAAUUGACUGAAAGCUGCGCUCGACCAACUCGUCGGCGAUGAAGUCUGAAAGCUACGAUUCACGAUUCACGUUUUCACUGAAGGAUGAAGGUUAAAUGUGGAAGGAUGAAAACGUUUUCACUGAAGGAUGAAGGUUAAAUGUGGCUGGGUUUGAUGAAAAACGAAUGUUAAAGGAUGAAAAAUGAGUUUGGAUUCGCGGGUUUGAAUUCGCGGGUUUGUGGUUUUGCAGAAGGAUGAAGAAGAACGAAUGAUGAAGAUGAAAAAAUGAAAGGGUUGGCACAUGUGAUUUCUUAUUCUUUAGUUAACUUAGGGAACUUUUUUUAAAAGACUUGUUAGAUCGGUCUAACAAAACAGAUCUAACAAAAUUUGUAAUAAUAACAAAUUUGUCACUGUCUUUUUUUUUUGUGUAGUCUUUUUUUUAAUGUAUAUGUUAGAACAGUUCAAUUAGAACUAUCUAACAAAAUUUACUAUAAUAAUAAAUUUACCAUAGCUUUUUUGUGUGUGCAGUUUUUAUUUUUAAUAUGUAUGUUAGAUCAGUUCAAUUAGAACCGAUCUAAUAAAAUUUAUUAUAAUAAUAAAUUUACCAUAAUUUUUUUUUGUAGUUUUAUUUUUUUUAAUGUGUUUGUUAGAACAGUUCAAUUAGAACAGAUCUAACAAAGUUUACCAUAAUAAUAAAUUUGCCAUCAUCUUACUUAUUACAUUGGAUGUAUAACAACCGAUCUAAUAUCGACAAUGUAACAAAGUUAAAAUGAACUAGUGAUGGAAUGUCUGUGGUGAACAGUAUGUCAAUCAUCUUGUACAAUAUUCAUCUACUAAAUUAAUUAGUUUCCUCUUAAACGACAUUUCCUCUAAUAGAACAUUAUCUUUGUCUCAAAUCCAAAUCUAAAGAAUAAUGACUGAUCAAUCAAAGGCAAGAACAACUUGAACAACUACAAUGAUUAUUGAUUCAUUCUAUGUUAUAUCACAAAUCGUCUCAAUUAGAUGUUUGAGAAGAACUAGAAAUUUAUAUAUCAUACAUGUGAUGGAUAUCAUAAAGUUACAAGUUUACAUAUGUGAACCCACAUAUAAACAAUAAAGUGAGUUUCUUAAAAUUUGAUGAAGUUAUAAGUUUACAUAUGUGAACCCACAAAGUGAGUUUGUUAAAAUUUAAUAAAGUUAUAAGAUUACAUAUGUUAACCCACGUAUAAACAAUAAAGUGAGUUUCUUAAAAUUUAAUAUUGUAAAAGAACAAUGGUGACAUUCUAAAAAAUGAUUUAAAUCUUAUUUAAUUAGCCAAAAGUUAUAAUUAUACUAAAUAUUAGUAAUAUGCAUGUGUUAAUGAUAAGGCAUGUACUUUUUCAAAAAGGGAUCAAAUGAUCAACGGUAAAACAAGGUCGAAUGAAUCCACGGUGAUAAUAUGCAUGGGUUAUGAUUAUGGAAGUUCUACUUGGGAAAAUAAUUAUUUAAUUAUUUCUAUCACAAUUCUAUUCAUCAUCUCAAAAACACUAUUUAAUUUUAGAGACUAUUGAUGACUAAUUUUUUUUAUCUAUACAAUAAGUGCCAAAUAGUCUCAAAUAUUCAUUUUCAUUAUCUGUGUGUAAGUACUUCCAUUUUUUUUUCAAUUUAACACUCAAUUGAGGUCUUAAAUUUCUUCAAUACACUUAAAAUCACAUAUUUACUCUUUAAGUUAUAAUCCGAAGUCUUUCUUAAGUGAUCACCAAUAAACUUCAGAAAGUACGCUUGCCCCAAGUGUUAUUUUCUUCAUAGGGUCUCAUAGAUAAGAAUGCAUCAAAUUAAUGAUUUCUAGUCUUCUAGGUAUGCGGCUCUCUAAAGAAUCUUUGUUCAUCUUUUCAACAAAAUAGUGAACAUAUUUCUUCAAGUGUGGAUUCUCAUGUCACAUAAUACAUCUCGUUUGGUUAGCUCAACUAUGUCUUCCUCGCUCAUGUGAAACACCUUUUUUGCCAUAACUCAACUUUUUCAAUUAGUUCAAGUGCAUGGACAUCUUUAAUUAUUUUUGCAUGUCUCACACAAAUGCUAGAACAUUUUGUACCUCUAGAACCAAUCAUAGAACCCUUGGUGAGUUUUCAUGUGUUUUGUGCGGACCAGUUAUCUUAGCCUUUAUCAUAUAGCUUAGUCACUAAAAGUAAAUUUAACCAAAUGUCUUGAACAAACUUCACACCCUUGAGAGUUAACUUGGUAUUAUUAGACAUCUCUAAAACCAACACACUUUACCACACCUUCAUGAGCUAAUUUCACAUUACCAGAUUCACUUGGAGUAUAAGAGCAUAAAAUAUUUCUCUUGAAAGUAUCAUGUACUAAAGUACCAAUAUUAAUCACUCAAUUGGAUACACUAUCAACAAUAUUAACAGUAUCAUACUCUUCAAUAAGAAGAAAAUCAUCUGAUGUCAUAUUACCUUUGGUGUCAUCAAAAUAUUUUUCUUUCAUCUUUCUUUUACCUUCGUUCCCAUUUUACUUUUUAAAAAGCCAAAAAUUAUUCUUAAUAAGCCUUUUUUUUACCACAGUGGUAGCACUCAACAAAUUUGUACAUGUUUCUAGAAUUGCUUAUGAUUUGAUCGAUCUCUAUUACAUGAAUAUUGAUUCUUGCUUCCCCCUAGAUUUAAUAACCAACACCUUUGACUACAAAGAAGAGUAUUGAGACUUUCUUACCAUCUCCUCAUUCAAAAUAAUACUUUUUACAAUUUUCAUUAACAACACAACAUCAUGAGUAGAAUUCCACAAUGGUAUCUUGUAACUUUCUCAAGGGUUAGAAAUGGAACCAACAAGAAAUAACUCUUGAAUUUCAUCAUCAAAUUUAACACCCAUAAUAGAGAGUUGAUUCAGAAUUCCUUAAAAAGUAUUCAAAUGAUCUGCCAACGAAGUCCCUUCUUGAAGUUUCGAGCUUAAUAACUUCUUUAUCAAAUACAUCUUGAUAUUCCAGUCUUUGCAUACAGUUGCUCUAGCUUAUCCCACAAUGAUUUAGCAUCUUUCUCCCCAUUAAUAUGGCCCAAUAACAAAUGUAUCUACACAUAAGUCUGUGCAGUAGAGUCUGCUUAUCAUUCGGCUUCACUGUAUUGAACAUAGGUUGGUGAAUUUUUUUCACAUACAGAGAUCAUCCAUCUUACUUUUAUAGAUAACAUAAUUUGACCUAUUAAUGAUCACCAUAUGGGUUGUAUUGACUUACAUAAGUCACCUUAAAAUAAUUACUAGAAGAUAACCGAAGUUCUGAUGCCAUCUACUAUCGAUGCUUUUUUUUUUUUCUCUUCUCUCAGUCACCCUCUAUUUUUUUUUUUUUUUUUGUUGAUUCGUAUGCACAUGAACCACUACUGGGACUUUUCAUGUUCACACGAAAAUAAUUAGGGAUAAAAAUAUUUUUUAAUUUGUUACACAUUGGUGAAGCCCAAUCAAAAACAUGCUUUUUUUUCUUUUUCUUUUAAUUGGUGUAGAAUCUCACUUGAGGAUAUAUCCACCCAACAGCAUGAACAAAUUUUUUUUCUUCUAGACAAAUAUUAGUAGUUAAUAUGUUAGAGAGGAAAAAAUUAGUAGUAGGGAUUGAAUCAUUAACUUGGUAGACCCAAAUCACAAGACCGAUCAUUCAAAUACUAGUUAUGUUUUGUUAACUUAUUGGCAACUUGUUUGUACAGUCUAAUACUAACUAGUAUCUAACUUAUACAUGUCAUUUAAGUCUAGGCUAAUCCCAACGCAUAUUAAGGUUUAAGAUGAAGCUUUUUAAGAAUAAUGACAUUUUAGUAUAAAACUGCAAUAUUUUUAUUUAAAUUUUAUUGUUUUUCUUAGACACUUUAUAAUACAAAAUAAUUUAUUAAACAAUAAUAAACUCAAUAUACUUAAUUAUUUUGUUGUGACAAUAUUUAUUUUUGUGUAAUUCAUGGUUGAUGAUCACACAAAAAUAUUUUAUUAAUAUAAAAGACCUUUGUAAAAGUUUUUAUUUAUUUUUAAAAAUUUAACCAUAUCGUCUAAUCAAGAGAUAUUAAUUCAUUUUUGUAAAUUAAUUAUUUCACUCGUAUAUAUAUUAUUGUUUGAAACAGUCUAUGUUACGUUAAUAUUAUUAAUACUUAUUAAAAUUAUGUUUGUAGAUGAAAGUCAAACUCCUACCUCUUAUUAUUACACUUUAAUAGUUUAACUCAUUUAACUAAGUCAACAAACCAUUCUCAUGUUAAUAUGGGUUAGAAGUUUGUAUGAAUCAAUACACAAAGAGAUGAAAAUUAACGUACGGCACAGUACUUUAUUCUGAGCAUAAAGACCAUUCAAAUAUAAAGAAUAUUUGUCAUUACCAUGACACUAUAUAUAUAUAUAUAUAUAAACUGCUACCUUGUUGAAAUUGUCUAAGCAUGCGACGAGAACAAGUCAUCUUGGAAAUUAGAAAGUUUUAUUUAUAAUAAUAUCUUUCCUUUGGAUACUACAAAUGCUAAUUAAUAUGGUAUUUCAAUCAAAUUUAAGCCAUUGGUGUUGAAAGAUUUCAAUAAUUCAAAUGAGAUUAUUCCUUUAAAUCUCAUGUUAUCAAUGUAUUAUGCAUAAAUGUUACUCCAACUCUUUGUCUCGCAAUAACUGUUACAAUCCCAAGAAAUCAUAAAAAAAAUUGUUUAAAAAAGUCGAUCACUUUUAAUUUUCAAUAUAAUUUUAAUUAUAUUUUUAGUUAUAUUCUUUAAUUAAUAUUAAGUGUUUCCCUUCUAAAAUUUUAUUCUCCACUAUGAAUUAUAUAUUAUAAAGAAAACACAUCAAUAAUUAAUAACGAUAAUUUAAUAAAAUCACUAUUAUCUUUUUUAUUUUUAUAUUCUUUUUUUCAAUCUUUGUAAAAUUGUCUAUUGCUGAAAGUUAUAAUAGGAAGAAUAGAUUAUUGUUUAUUUAGAAUUCAAACUUAGCAUAGUAAUUAUUAACUUUCAUUUUUAUUCCUUUUGUUAUUCAACAAAAUUACAAUAUACUAUUAUAAGAUUCAAACCUAUACUCGCCUAAGUAAAAAAAAAAAUCAAAUGGUGUUAAUAAACAAUAAAUUAAAACAAUUACACUCAACAAAAUAUAGAUUAGUCAAAGUUUGAUCAAGUCACUUGCAAAGGCCAAAUUCCAGAAUGGGGAUAAAAAAACAUACACAUCUUUGUCAUAGUGACAUCAAUUAACUAUAUUCAUGGUUGCAUGGUUCUAUAUAUAUAUAUGUCAUGCAAAAGUUAAACACACCUCACUAAUUACAUCCCAACUUUCCUAAAUUCUCAUUUUUAAAAUUCCCUUCAUUAACUUGUUUCCAAUUUAUUGGAGUAAAAGAAAAAAGUUAUAUAAAUAUGGAUGCUUAUAAAAUCUUCUUCUUCCUUCUUAUUUCUUGUUACACAAUCGCAAUCGUUGCGGCGCAAGACGUGACCGGUUUCGUGAACUCAAUAGAUCCUAAUUUUUUUAAAAAGAGACAAAAUGCUAGCCACUUUAGGUUUUAUUGGCAAGACAUAGUGGGAGGAGACAAUGCUACUUCAUUUGAUAUCAUUUCAUCAAUUCCUAAAUAUAAUGGAACUAGUUUCUUUGGUUUGGUGAAAAUCAUAGACAACCCUUUAACCUUAGGACCUCAAUUAAGCUCAAAAUUGGUGGGAAGGGCUCAAGGGAUAUAUGCAUCAACCUCAACAACCGAGCUUAAUUUUCUUAUGAUUAUGAAUUUUGCCUUAUUUGAAGGGAAAUAUAAUGGAAGCACAAUUACUAUAUUGGGAAGAAAUGU